This 846-nucleotide long non-coding RNA is filed under the name Parus major (Great Tit). Its description in RNAcentral is "lncRNA (ENSPMJG00000003938.1)". Lineage: Eukaryota; Metazoa; Chordata; Aves; Passeriformes; Paridae. The record is from RNAcentral.
GCAAAGCCCACGGUGCUGCUGCUCUUUGGGAGUGGGUGGUGCUGCUGAUGGAUUUGGAUUCAAAUUCCACAUCUGCAUCUUCUGCUCACACAGGUCAAUGCAUUUUGAAGCAGAUGGAGCAGUAAUUCAUGAAAAAUAGUGUUUAGGAAAGAAAAGGUAAGUCAAUUUUACAGACCCCAUAAUGUCUAUAAAUGUCUGACUGGCACUGGAUUGGGAAAGGGUCAGAGUUGCUCCACAGCUUCUCAUUUAUUUAUAGGGAAAAAGGGGGAACACCACAGCUGCCAGAUCCCAGACUUGACACCCCUCCUCUGUGCAUUUCCUGAUUCUUCCUCCAUCUAAUGGAUCAAAUAUUUGAAAUGAUUUGGAAUCUGAAGUGUGGACGUGCAGAACUUUUUGGGACAGAUGUGUUAGUGACAGGAUGAAGCUGUGAGGGACAAACGAUGGGUGCAGCACUCUCUGUCUUCGUGGGAAGGCUGGGUGGGACAGGCACCUCAAGGAGCAGUUUUAAGGAAGCUCUGCAGAACCAUGUCCUGAGAGUACAGAGCACCUGCAGACACCACCAGCUGUGCUUCUCCUGGCUUUGGCAGGGAACUGCUCCUGGGGGCUGCUGCCUCAUGCUGGAUUUCACACCUGGAAAAGCUUCUGGAGAUUUUUAUUUGUCUCCAGAUAAAAAUCUGCGUUGCUGUCCAAUGUGUAAGUACAAGAGCACUGUCAUGGACAGGCAGUGUGUGUUGUGAUACAUGGCUGUGGGGUGGUGGGAGCAGUUCCUUUUCCAGCUCUCUGUGAUCCCUGGGAGCAGGGAUGUUUUCCAUGCUCCAUGUGCUCCUGGGCCCAGGCAGUGCCAGA